UGUUUUUCAGUUUCUGUUUUCCUACUCUCCGCGGCUCUGCCUGUUUCCUUUGAAUUUCUUAAAUUGUUUUCUCAGAUCUUCAUCUCUUUGUUAGGUUUUCGUAUGUCGAUUCUCAGGUUUACUAUAGAUCUAUAGAAUAUCGAAAGUUUGAUACAACUUUUAAAAGAUUUCAUGUUAGAUUGUUUGUGGUCUCUCGUUUUUGGUUUUGCAGGUGAUUUGAUGGCGAGGUUUCUAUCAAUUAAGAUGGACAGUUCUGUUCAUAUGUUUCUUUGGUGAAGUUGGAUCUUGGUUUCAGAUGAGAAAGCAGAGGUGAACCGAUAUGGUGUAUAUCAGUAAUUGUUGAUUCAUGAUGUAAAGAUAGAGAUCCAGAGGCUUGCUCAUUUGUUGAUUGAUUGAUGAUAGAUUGGUGAGGCUUUGAGGUUAAAAGAUGAGAUGUGAUAGAGAUCCAGAGGCUUUCUUUGUCAUCCCGACCUUUGCCAUGACAGGUGCGCUUGCUUGGCAGGUCAACCAAACCCUAAUAAAAAAAUUGAUUUGUGGUUUAGCAGGGAGUUCGCACGGGGUGUUUUUUGCCCGGGUUCUCCCUUGUUGUUUGUCUGUGCUGUCACUCUCUUGCUACGAUUCUUGAAUUGUCUCAACGUGUUACUCCAGUAUCAACAAUAACGAUUAUCCAAUCCCACCGAUGAUGAAUCUCAAAUGAAUUUCACAGCAAUGCUGCAGUUUAACCUCAAGGUUACAAGUUUAUUUAAUUUUGAAAAAUGGAUGUUUGCUAGUCACCUGAAACAAGUGAAGAAUUGAAGCCCUGUGUGUAAUUGAAUACUGCGAAGUCUAUAUGUACCAAGGUCGAAUCAUUGUCGAAGCAUUUGUUGCUUCAGCUGGGUGGGUUCUGUUAGAGAUGGUUUUUCAUUUGUUGUGGCAUAGUAUCUUUUGAGAGCAGGUUUGGUUGUGGCAUGGUAUCUUUUGAGAGCAGGUUUGGAACUGGUAAACGUUGUAAUGGUAUCAAAAGUUUGUGUAAUAUUAUUGAUGUUACACAGAUGUAUCACUCUUAGGCAACUGCUAGAAGAUGUCAUCCGAAACUGUUUCAUACAGCUGCCUGAAAGUUUGAGUGCUGCUGAGUAUUGGCCGGUAAACUUCUGUAGACUUUAGGAACUGCGGAGUGUUCUUAUUUUGUUGAUAAACUUCUGCAGACGUAGACCUUAGGAACUGCGGAGUGUUCUUGUUUUGUUGGCAUUUCAUUUCAUGUAUAAGUGAUCUGGAGUUUUUGCUGGUAGGCUUGGUCUGCUUUUGGUAAUUACCUGGAUUAUUUAAAGAAUUUGUUUUUUGGAUGGA
Molecule: long non-coding RNA, 1326 nt
Organism: Papaver somniferum (opium poppy)
Lineage: Eukaryota; Viridiplantae; Streptophyta; Magnoliopsida; Ranunculales; Papaveraceae
Exons: 2
Source: RefSeq, a predicted model, not a curated record